CCUACGGGAGGCAGCAGUGGGGAAUUUUGCGCAAUGGGGGCAACCCUGACGCAGCAACGCCGCGUGAGUGAUGAAGGCCUUCGGGUCGUAAAGCUCUGUCAGAGGGGAAGAAAUGCAGGUGGUGAACAACCAUUCUGUUUGACGGUACCCUCAAAGGAAGCACCGGCUAACUCCGUGCCAGCAGCCGCGGUAAUACGGAGGGUGCGAGCGUUGUUCGGAAUUAUUGGGCGUAAAGCGCGUGUAGGCGGUUUGUUAAGUCUGAUGUGAAAGCCCCGGGCUCAACCUGGGAAGUGCAUUGGAUGCUGGCAGACUUGAGUACGGGAGAGGAGAGUGGAAUGCCCAGUGUAGGAGUAAAAUCCGUAGAUAUUGGGAGGAACACAGGUGGCGAAGGCGGCCCUCUGGACCGAUACUGACGCGGAGACGCGAAAGCGGGGGGAGCAAACGGGAUUAGAUCCCCUGUUAGU
This 464-nucleotide ribosomal RNA is filed under the name uncultured Geobacteraceae bacterium. Its description in RNAcentral is "partial 16S ribosomal RNA". It matches the Rfam family "Bacterial small subunit ribosomal RNA", at positions 338 to 794 of the family's 1533-position model. Lineage: Bacteria; Pseudomonadati; Thermodesulfobacteriota; Desulfuromonadia; Geobacterales; Geobacteraceae. The record is from RNAcentral.